AAAAAUGGCAGUCGUGCGAUUCACAUUUUUUGUAAUGGCAGAAAAUUAAACAAUUAAGUUAAUUAGCUCAGCCAUGACAAUUUGAUCAUGUGAAAGCCAGAAGAAAGAUUUGAUCCUCAGUAGUUAUUUAUCUGUAGAGAGCUGUCAGCUCCAAAGUCAAACCAAUUCCAACGGUACAAAAUCUUGGAUCUUAACCAUUCAUUUGCUUUGCUUCUAC
RNAcentral lists this long non-coding RNA (217 nucleotides) under Panax ginseng (ginseng). Its description in RNAcentral is "long non-coding RNA (PGIN_LNC007785)". The record is from RNAcentral. Lineage: Eukaryota; Viridiplantae; Streptophyta; Magnoliopsida; Apiales; Araliaceae.